GGGCUUGACAUCCCACGAACCUGCCUGAAAGGGCGGGGUGCCCGCAAGGGAGCGUGGAGACAGGUGGUGCAUGGCUGUCGUCAGCUCGUGUCGUGAGAUGUUGGGUUAAGUCCCGCAACGAGCGCAACCCUCACCCCUAGUUGCCACCGGGUAAUGCCGAGCACUCGAGGGGAACUGCCAGCGUCAAGCUGGAGGAAGGCGGGGAUGACGUCAAGUCAUCAUGCCCCUUACGCCCUGGGCUACACACGUGCUACAAUGGCCGGUACAAAGGGACGCAAGACCGCGAGGUGGAGCUAAUCCCAAAAAGCCGGUCUAAGUUCAGAUUGCAGUCUGCAACUCGACUGCAUGAAGGAGGAAUCGCUAGUAAUCGCGCAUCAGCCCGGCGCGGUGAAUACGUUCCCGGGCCUUGUACACACCGCCCGUCACACCACGAAAGCUGUCUGUACUCGAAGUCGCUGAGA
This 461-nucleotide ribosomal RNA is filed under the name uncultured Methylomirabilota bacterium. Its description in RNAcentral is "bacterial SSU rRNA". It matches the Rfam family "Bacterial small subunit ribosomal RNA", at positions 977 to 1435 of the family's 1533-position model. Lineage: Bacteria; Methylomirabilota (SeqCode). The record is from RNAcentral.